This 495-nucleotide ribosomal RNA is filed under the name uncultured bacterium. Its description in RNAcentral is "partial 16S ribosomal RNA". It matches the Rfam family "Bacterial small subunit ribosomal RNA", at positions 28 to 507 of the family's 1533-position model. The record is from RNAcentral.
GACGAACGCUGGCGGCGUGCCUAAUACAUGCAAGUAGAACGCUGAAGGAGGAGCUUGCUUCUCUGGAUGAGUUGCGAACGGGUGAGUAACGCGUAGGUAACCUGCCUGGUAGCGGGGGAUAACUAUUGGAAACGAUAGCUAAUACCGCAUAAGAGUAGAUGCUGCAUGACAUUUGCUCAAAAGGUGCACUUGCAUCACUACCAGAUGGACCAGCGUUGUAUUAGCCAGAUGGUGUGGUAACGGCUCACCAAGGCGACGUUACAUAGCCGACCGGCGAGGGUGAUCGGCAACGCUGGGAUGAGAGCACGGCCCAGCACCCUGCGAGAGGCAGAAGUAGGGGAUCUUCGGGAAAGGCAGCAAGGCUGACCGAGCGACGACGCGUGAAUGACUAAGGUUGUCGGGUCGUAAAGCUCAGUUGUAAGUGAGGAACGAAAAUGACAGUGGAAAGUGCACACUGUGACAGUAUCGUAACAAAAAGCUACGGCUAACUACGUG